This 22735-nucleotide small RNA is filed under the name Pongo abelii (Sumatran orangutan). RNAcentral describes it as "processed transcript". Lineage: Eukaryota; Metazoa; Chordata; Mammalia; Primates; Hominidae. The record is from RNAcentral.
GAUUUGUCUCUCCAGAAUGACUAUCCUCCAUUUCUAGGUCCCAAAUCACAACCAUGAAGUUGAUCUUAUGGUACUUUGUUGUGGCACUUUGGUGCUUCUGCAAAGAUGUGGAAGCCUUACUUUACCGACAAAAAUCAGAUGGUAAAAUAGCAGCAAGCAGAUCAGAUAGCACCAACACAAGAUAUGGUGCUGGCUUUAGUAGCAGUGGUGCCUCUCUGGAUGUGGGAUUUAGUUGGGGGACAUCUGAUGAAAAGGGAUUGGAAGUCGGUAGAGCUGAUGGGAGUGAAACUAGAGACAGUGGAUCUGCUGGGGGUGAAACCAUAGUCUUUGGACCUGAUGCGGGUAGCUCAGUUGGAACUGGUUCUUCUGGUUUGAAACUUGGAGCAGGGAAAGGUGAUGCUGCAUUUGGUUUUGAAGUUUCUGAUUCGAAUUCAUUUAGUGACAGUGGCAUUAGUAGCAAAACAGUUGAAGGAAAUCAAAUGAGUAGUUCUGGAGGGAUCUGUUUCCAUUGAUCUAGGUGAUACCAGUUUAAGAAGUGACAAUCAAUUUGUUGGUGGUGGCUCUCGAAAUUCGAUAUCCAAUUUAUGGGAUUCUGGUCAAGAGAGAUUUGGAAUCAAUGAAAUUGGAGGGAAUGGAAUGAGUGGCAGUGUAUCUGCUGAGGCUGGAUUCAAAGGUUUUGGAUCUGAUGCCAGUAGCUCAGGUGAUUCAAGUGCAAGAAAUGGGUUUGAAAAUUCUAGUCGUAUCUCUGAAAAUUCAGGAGUCAUAUUGGGGCCAUCUGAUCAACAUGAAGUUGAACUCAGUAGAACUGGUGGGAAUAGACAGAGAAGCAGUGAACCUGCUGAGGCUGGAAACUUGAGUCCUGGAUCUGAUGUCAGCGACUCAGGAGGAAACACUUGGUCUUCUGGUUCUGGAAGUGGUGGAGGAAGUGUCACAAGCUCGUCUGAAUACAGUACAUCUGGACCACUCAAUACUCCAGAAAAAGGAUCCCACAUUCCAGAAGCAACUCCAAAAUACUCAGAAACAAAUGCAAUUAUUGGUGAAGUGUCUACCUGGAGCAAAGGAGCAUAUAAAUCUUUCAACGGCCGCAUCUUUUUCUUCGAAUCUUCAUGCCCGUACAUUUUCUGCCGUCACUGUGUUGAAUCUGGAGGGGAUUUCAAUAUUGAGAUCAAACGAAACAAUGAUAGUGAGAUUGAAAAAAUAACCGUUCUAAUUGACAAUAACGACAUCUCUAUUUUUGGUGACACCAUUUUAGUUAAUGGAGAAAGAUACCAUAUAACAAUAAGUUGAUUCACAUAAAAAAAUAUGGAGAACAUAAUGUUCUGAAUAGCCGUAGAGGAAUCCUGACUUUAAUGUGGGACAAAAAUAACAAACUCUCACUCACUCUUCACAAGCAGUAUCCAACUUGUGGUCUUUGUGGUAACUUCAACAGCACUCCAGGGCAAGAUAUUAAUGAGCACAUUGCCAAUAGUAAAAUUCCUGGUGAUUGUCCCAAUGCUGUUGGAAAAAGCUAUGAAGUUUGUGAAGAUGGAAUACAGCACUGUAACAAAAUUAUUGGAACCUACUUUGAGAAAUGUGGAAAGGUUGCUGCUCUAUCCAAUGACUACAAAAUGAUCUGCAUUGAUGAAUACUGCCAAACUAGAGACAAAACAUCUACAUGUGACACUUAUUCAGAACUGUCCCGCCUCUGUGCCUCAGAUGGUCCUGGCACCUUUGAAUCCUGGCGAAGCGAUUCCGAUGUGGUUUGUGAAACACACAGAUGUCCAGAACAACAUAUCUACAAAGAAUGUGGACCCUCCAACCCUGCAACUUGUUCUAAUGUGGCUCCUUUUCAAGACAGUGAAUGUAUGAGCGGCUGCACCUGCCCAGAAGGUUAUCUGUUGGAUGAUAUUGGAGAGAAAGGAAAAUGUGUAUUAAAAGCUGAAUGUCCCUGUGAAUCCAGUGGAAAAGUGUACCAGCCAGGAGAAGUCCGAGAGGGUCCUUGUGGUUCUCAGUGCACAUGCCAAGAUGCAAAGUGGUCUUGCACUGAAGCAUUAUGCCCUGGAAGAUGUAAGGUGGAAGGAAGUUCCCUUACCACUUUUGAUGGUGUUAAGUACAACUUUCCUGGAAACUGCCACUUCCUGGCCAUUCACAAUGAAGAUUGGUCUAUUAGUGUUGAGCUCCGUCCAUGCCCAAGUGGUCAGACAGGAACGUGCUUAAAUAGCGUUACACUUCUCCUGAAUUCUUCUGUUCCAGUUGACAAAUACAUAUUCAACAGUGAUGGAACAGUCACAAAUGACAAGAUUAGAAAUCAAGGUUAUUACUAUUCAGAUAAAAUACAGAUAUUCAAUGCAUCUUCCUCAUACCUUCAAGUAGAAACAUACUUUCAUGUGAAACUACAAAUACAAAUUGUUCCUGUGAUGCAGUUAUAUGUUUCUAUGCCACCCAACCAAUUCACAGACACUGUGGGACUCUGUGGUUCCUACAACAACAAAGCAGAGGAUGAUUUCAUGUCAAGUCAGAAUAUAUUGGAGAAGACAUCUCAGGCAUUUGCUAACUCUUGGGAAAUGAUGUCUUGUCCUAAAGGAAACCCCUCUUCAUGUAUUAGUAUAGAAAAAGAAAAGUUUGCUGAAAGGCACUGUGGAAUUCUUCUUGAUUCAAGUGGGCCUUUUGCUUCCUGCCACCCAAUUGUGAACCCUAAACCCUACCAUGAGGAAUGCAAAAAAUAUACUUGCACUUGUGAAAACAGUCAGGACUGCCUAUGUACAAUUUUAGGCAACUAUGUGAAAGCAUGUGCUGAGAAGGAAACAUACAUAGUGGGAUGGAGAACUGGCAUAUGUGAACAUUCUUGUCCAAGUGGCCUAGUUUUCAAGUACAAUGUAAAAGCCUGUAAUAGUUCUUGCCGAUCCUUGUCAGAAAGAGAUAGGAGCUGUGAUGUAGAAGAUGUUCCAGUUGAUGGAUGCACCUGCCCUGAUGAAAUGUACCAGAAUAAUGAAGGAAACUGUGUACUGAAAUCUCAGUGUGACUGUUACAUAAAUGAUGAGGUCAUGCAACCAGGCAAACUCAUCCAUAUUGAUGACAAUAAAUGUGUCUGUCGAGAUGGAAUUCUUCUUUGCCAGAUUCCCAUUGAUUUAACCCUACAAAAUUGUUCUGGAGGGGCUGAGUAUGUAGACUGCAGUGAUCCCAAGGCACAGAGAAGAACCGACAGAACAUGCGGUACUCGGAACAUACCUGUUUUUGAUGAGAACUUGCCUUGCAAACGUGGGUGCUUUUGUCCAGAAGGAAUGGUUCAAAAUUCUAAAGGGAUAUGUGUCUUUCCUGAUGACUGUCCAUGCUCUUUUGGUGGACGAGAAUAUGAUGAAGGAAGUGUCACUUCUGUUGGCUGCAAUGAAUGUACCUGCAUUAAAGGGUCUUGGAGUUGUACCCAAAAUGAAUGUCAAACCAUCUGCCACAUCUAUGGGGAAGGUCAUGUUAGAACUUUUGAUGGGAAGAGUUACAGUUUUGACGGUCUCUGCCAGUAUUCAUUUCUUGAGGAUUAUUGUGGUCAUGAAAAUGGCACAUUUCGUAUUUUAACGGAGAGUGUUCCAUGCUGUGAAGAUGGGCUAACGUGCUCAAGAAAAAUCAUAGUUUCUUUUCAGGAUCAGAAUGUUGUCUUGCAAGACGGUAAAGUAACAGCAGUCAAAUCUACAGAAAGUAAGAAAUGUGAACUCAAUGCAAAUGCAUACUCCAUACAUACUGUUGGCCUGUACUUAAUUCUGAAAUUUCAAAAUGGAAUAAUCGUGAUUUGGGACAAAAGUACAAGACUGUCUGUUAUUCUGGAUCCAAACUGGAAUGGCAAAGUGUGUGGUCUUUGUGGAAAUAACAAUGGUGAUCUCAAGGAUGAUUUCACAACAAGAUACUCUUCAGCAGCUUCUGGAGCACUGGAAUUUGGGAAUAGUUGGAAAACAAGCCAAGAAUGUUCAGAUACAGUGGCUCAGACUUUCCCAUGUGAUUCAAACCCAUACUGUAAAGCCUGGGCUGUGCGGAAAUGUGAGAUCCUCAGAGACAGCACCUUCAGAGACUGCCACAACAAGGUAGCAUUGUUCUGAAAGCAGUGACUUACACAGGGUUUCCUCCCAGAGACUCAUGUGCUAUGCUCUGCCUAGGUUGACCCCAGUGCUUAUUACGAUGCGUGCAUUGAAGAAGCCUGUGCGUGUGACAUGGAGGGGAAGUACCUGGGAUUCUGCACUGCUGUGGCUAUGUACGCAGAGGCGUGUAGUGCAGUUGGAGUCUGUGUCUCAUGGAGAAAACCAAAUCUGUGUCCUGUCUACUGUGAUUACUACAACGCGCCUGGGGAAUGCAGAUGGCAUUAUGAACCUUGUGGCACAGUGACUGCAAAAACAUGCAAAGAUCAGCUCAUUGGCCAGAAAUUUUCUUCACUUUUAGAAGGUUGUUAUGCUAAGUGCCCAGAGAGUGCUCCUUACCUGGAUGAGAACACCAUGAAAUGUGUCAGUUUAUCUGAGUGCAGCUGUUUCUAUAAUGAUGUCAUACCAGCAGGGGGAGUGAUUGAAGAUAAUUGUGGAAAAACAUGCUACUGUAUUGCAGGGCAGUUGGAGUGCAGUGAAACUGCUCCUACCAAUUCAACAUUUGCAGUUUCCACUACAACAGCUACCGCCAUAUUAAGCACGGGAGCAGCAAUUACACUGGUUACCAGUAGCCCAGGCACAGCAGCAUCCAUUCCAGCGAUUACAACAUCAAGCAGUGAAACAACAGGAACAACUCUAGGUCCUCUCAUCGAACCUUUUACUACAGGCAUUACUGAAACUUCAGUUCCCAUCAUCUCAACAUCUGGAAAUGCAGGCACGACAGGAGUAGUGAGCCCCACCAUCACUGGUGCUGCAGGCAUGGCAGGAACAACUGGAGGAGUGGAUGCAGCCACCACUGGAGCUGCUGGUGAAAAUACAUCUGAGAGAGCAGGCACACCAGGGGUAUCUGGAGUAACCCCUGCAGUCAGAGGUGGCAGUACCCCUGGAGAAGCAGGCCCUGGAGCCACAGUUUCUGGAAGUACAGGAGUUUCUGCAGGCUCCACCACUGCCAGCCCUGGAACCUCAGCCACAACCUCUGAAAGCAGCAAAUCAGGAACUACUGGACCCUCAGUGGGUGGAAAAACUGGAGCCACAAGCAGUGAAGUGACAUCAUCUGAAGGCAUGUCAGGUGUAACAGGACAGUCUCUUGGAUCUACUCCUGGAUCUGACAGUGAAAUCACAGCUAAAACAUCUUUCACUGGUUCCGGUCCACCUGGGAAACUCACGAGGCCAAGCCCGGGCUCACCUGAUCACUUUAGUGGUGGAACAACUGAAGGGGGAAAUGUAGCCAUCACUGGAGCUGCUGGUGAAAACACUUCUGGAGCAUCGGGUUCAACAGAAGGGUCUGUGGAAGCCACCACCAGCGCAGGCAGUGGAAACACAGCUGGAACAUCAGGUACUGGGGCCACUGGCCCUGGAAACACAGCAGUCUCAGGUACACCUGUGGUAUCACCUGGAGCAACUCCUGGAGCUCCAGGUAGCAGCACCCCUGGGGAAGCAGGCAUUGGAACCACCAGUUUUGGAAAAUCAGGGACCCCGACAGUAUCUGCUGCCUCAACUACCAGUAGCCCUGUGAGUAAACACACCGAUGCAGCCUCAGCCACAGCAGUGACAAUCUCUGGAAGCAAACCAGGUACACCUGGAACACCAGGUGGUGCAACUAGUGGAGGCAAAAUUACAUCUGGAUGGUCCAGCAGUGGUGCCAGCACAGGCUCUUCAAAUACACCAGGGGCAACUGGAUCAUCAACUGGAGACACAGAGACAAGUGGACCAUCAGCUAAAGUAACAGGGAAUUAUGGACAAUUAUCUGAAAUAUCAGGAACAACUAAAUUGUCAUCUGAUGUUUCAAGGACAAUGGGGCAAUCAGAUACAACAUCUGGACCAUCAGUUGCAGUGACAAGGACUUCUGAACAAUCGUCAGGAGUCACAGGGGCAUCUGAACCAUCAGUUGGAGUAUCAGGGACAACUGGACCAUUAGCUGAAAUAUCAGGGACAACCAGACCAUUAGUUUCAGGAUUAAGGACAACUGGAUCAUUAGCUGAAGGAUCAGGGACAACUGGACCUUCAUCAAGAGAAUCAGUGACAACUAGACCAUUAGCUGAAGGUUCAGGAACAAGUCGACAAUCGGUUACAGGAUCAAGAACAACUGGAUUAUCAGCUACAGAAUUAGGGACAACUGUGUCUUUUACUGGAGGAUUAGGUACAAGUAGAUCAUCUGCUAGAGAAACAUGGACAACUGGACCAUCAGCUGAUGGGUCAGGAACAACAGGACCAUCUGUUGUGAGAUCAGGGACAACUAGAUUAUCAGUUGGAGUGACAAGAGCAACUGAAUCAUCACCUGGAGUGACAGGAACAACUACACCAUCAGCUGAAGAAUCCAGAACAACUGGACCAUCUGUUCUAGUGGCAGAAACAACUGGACAAUCAGGCCAAGGAUCAGGGACAACUGGAAAAUCUUUUAUAGAAUCAGGACCAUCUGUUGUAGGAUCAGGGACAACUGGACCAACAUCUGCAGGAUUAGGAACAUCUGCACCAUCAACCAGAAGAUCAGGCACAACAAGACCAUCAGUUGGAAGAACUGGGACAACUGGACAAUCAGGUGCAGAAUCAGGAACAACUGAACCAUCAGUUAGAGUGACAGAUGUAACUGGAACAUCAGCUGAAGUAUCAGGAAGAAUUGAACCAUCAGCUACAGGAUCAGGUACAAGUAGACCACUAGGUGAAACAACAGGGACAACUAUAUCAUCAACGGAAGGAUCAGAGGCAACUGGACCAUCUGUCAUUGGAUCAGAAACAACUAGACUAUCAGUUAUAGGAUCAGGGACAACUGGAACUUCAUCUGGAGGUUCAGGUGCAACAAGAUCAUCAGGUGGAGGAAUGGGGACAACUGGACAAUCAACUGCAAGAUCAGAAACAACUGGACCACUUUUUGGAUUGACGGGAACAUUUGGUCAAUCUGCUACAGUGACUGGGACAUCUUCAAAUUCAGCUGGAGUAACAACAUCUGAAAAAUCACCUGGAGUGGCAAUGACAACAGGACUAUUGGUUGAAGGAUCAGCUACAACUCAACCACCUAUUUUAGAAUCAGAAACAACUGAAUCAUCAGCUGGAGUGACAGUGGCAUCUGGACAAUCAGCCAGAGUGACUUGGGCAACUGGACCAUCAGCUGGAGAGACAGGAACAACUGGACCAUCAACUGAAGGAUCAGUUGCAACUGUACCAUUUGUUAUUGGAUCAGAAACAACUAGACCAUUAGAUAUAGGAUCAGGGACAACUGGAAAUUUAUCUGGAGGUUCAAGUACAACAAGAUCAUCAGAUGAAACAACAGGGACAACCAGAAAAUCAACUGCAAGAUCAGAAACAACUGGACCACUUUCUGGAUUGACAGGAACAUCCGGGCAAUUGGCUGGAGUGACUGGGACAUCUUCAAAAUCAGCUGGAAUAACAGUGACAUCUGAAAAAUCAGCUGGAGUUGCAGUGACAACAGGAUCAUUUGUUGAAAGAUCAGUCACAACUGGACCAUCUCUUUUGGAAUCAGAGACAACUCGACCAUCAGGUGGAGUAACAGUGACAUCUGGACAAUCAGCCAGAGUGACUGAAACAGUUGGAGCAUCAGCUGGAGUGAUAGGAACAACUGGACCAUCAACUGAAGGAUCAGGGGCAACUGGACCGUCUGUUGUGGGAUCAGGAACAACUAGACCAUUAGCUGGUGAAUCAGGUACAACUGAGUCAUCAGCUGGAGUGACAGGGACAAGGCCAUCAUCAUCAAGAGAAUCAGCAACAACUGGACCAUCAGAUGAAGGAUCAGGAACAACUGGACUAUCAGCUGGAGUGACAGUGACAUCUGGACAAUCAGUUAGAAAGACUGGGACAACUGGAGCACCAGCUGGAGUUACAGAAAUAACGAGACCAUCUGUUGUCAAAUCAGGGACAACUGGACCAUCUGUUACAGGAACAAGGACAACUGGAACUUCAUCUGGAGGAUCAGGUGCAACAAGAUCAUCAGGUGGAGAAACAGAGAAAACUGGCCAAUCAACUGUAAAAUCAGGGACGACAGAAUCAUUUACUGGGUCGAUAAGAACAUCUGGGCAAUCAGCUGGAAUGACUGGGACAUCUGCACAGUCAGGUGGAGUGGCACUAACAACAGGUCCUUUUGUUGAAGGAUUAGUGACAACUGGAUCAUCUACUGUAGGAUUAGAGACAACUAGACCUUCAGCUGUAGGAUCAGGAACAAUUGGACCUCCAGUUGUAAAAGCACAGACAACUGGACCAUCAGCUGGAGUAACAGUGACAUCUGGACAAUCAGCUAGGAUGACUGGGGCAACUGGACCAUCAGUAGGAGUGACAGGAACAACUGGACCAGCAAGUAAAGGAUUAGGGACAAUUAGACCAUCUGUUGUAGGAUUAGAGACUACUGAACCAUCAGCUGAAGGAUCAGGGACAACUGGACCACCUAUUGUAGGAGAGACAACUGUACCAUCAGCUGGAGUGACAGUUACAUCUGGAUACUCAGAUAGAGUGACUGAGGCAACUGAACCAUUGGUUGGAGUAACAGGAACCACUAAACCAUCUGUGGUAGGAUCAGUGACAACUGGACCAUCUGUUACAGGAGUAGAGACAACUGCAAAAACUUCAUCUGGAGGAUUAAGUACAACUAUAUCAUCAGUUGGAGGAACAGGGACCACUGGACAAUCACCUGAAAGAUCAGGGACAACAGGACCAUUUACUGGAUUGACAGGGACAUCUGUACAAUCAGCUGGAGUGGUAGUAACAACAGGACUAAAUGUUGAUGGCUUAGGGACAACUGGAAAAGCUCUUGUAGGAUCAGGAACAACUGGAUUAUCAGCUGAAGCUACAGGGACAAUUCGACCAUCAACUGAAGGAUUAGAGAAAACUGGACCAUCUAUUACUGGAUCAGGAACAACCAGAUCAUUAGUUACAGAAUCAUGGACAGCUGGAACUUCAUCUGGAGGACAGAGUACAACAAGUCCAUCAGUUAGAGGAACAAAGACAACUGGACAAUCAGCUGAAGGAUCAGUGACAACAGGGCCAGUUACAGGAUACACAGAAACCUCUGGUCCAUCUGCUGGAGUGACAGUGAUACCUAGACAAUCACCUACAGUGACUCAGACAACUGGAUCAUCAGCUGCAAUAUCAGGGACAACUGUACAAUCUCUUACAGUAUCAGGGACCACUAGACCAUCAUCUGGACAAACAGAAAUAACUGGAUCAUCAGUUGAAGAAUCAGGGACAACUGAAUCAUCAGCUGUAAGGUCAGGGACUACUGGACCAACAGCUGGAGUGACAGGUACAAAUGGACCAUCAUCAGCUGGAGUGACAGGGAUAACUGGAUCAUCACCUAUAGUGACAGGGACAACUGGAUCAUCUGCAAGAUCAGGGACAAGUAUACCAUCAGUUGGAAAAACAGGAACAACUAGAAAAUCAGUUGAAGAAUCAAGGACAACUGGACCAUCAGUUGGAAUAACAGGUACAAAUGGACUAUCAGCUGAAGUGACAGGGACAACUGGACCAUCAGCUGGAGUGACAGGGAAAACUGGACCAUCAGCUGGAGUGACAGGGACAACUGGACUAUCAGCUGGAGUGACAGGGACAACUGAACUGUCAGCUGGGGUGACAGGGACAGCUGGACUGUCAGCUGGAGAGACAGGGACAACUGGACUAUCACCUGGAGUGACAGGGACAACAAGAUCAUCAGCCGGGGUAACAGGGAAAACAGGGCUAUCAGCUGGGGUGACAGGGACAACUGGACUGUCAGCUGAAGUGACAGGGACAACUAGACUAUCAGCUGCAGUGACAGGGACAACUGGACCAUCACCUGGAGUAACAGGUACAACUGGACCACCAGCUGGGGUGACAGGGACAACUGAACUAUCAGCUGGGGUGAUAGGGAAAACUAGAUCAUCAGCUGGAGUGACAGGGACAACAGGACUAUCAUCUGAAGUGACAAAAACAACCAGAUUAUCAUAUGGGGUGACAGGGACAACUGGACUAUCAGCUGGAGUGACAGGGACAACUGGACAAUCAGCUGGAGUGACAGGGACAACAAGACUAUCAGCUGGAGUGACAGGGACAAUGGGACUAUCAGCUGGAGUGACAGGGACAACUGGACCAUCAGCUGGGGUGACAGGGACAACUGGACUAUCAGCUGAAGUGACAGGGAUAACUGGACUAUCAGCUGUGGUGACAGGGAGAACUGGACCAUCAGCUGGAGUAACAGAGACAACUAGAUCAUCAACUGGGGUGACAGGGAUAACUGGGCUAUCAGCUGGAGUGACAGGGACAACUGGACUGUCAACUGAAGUGACAGGGACAACUGGACCAUCACCUGGGGCGACAGGGACAACUGGACUAUCAGCUGGAGUGACUGGGAUAACUGGGCUAUCAGCUGCAGUGACAGAGACAACUGGAUCAUCUGCAAGAUCAGGGACAAGUAUACCAUCAGUUGGAGAAACAAGAACAACUAGAACAUCAGUUGAAGAAUCAAGGACAACUAGACCAUCAGCUGGAAUAACAGGUAGAAACGGACUACCAGCUGAAGUGACAGGGACAACUGGACCAUUAGCUGGAGUGACAGGGACAACUGGACUAUUAGCUGGGGUGACAGGGACAACUGGACUAUCAGCUGGGGUGACAGAGAAAACUGGAUCAUCAGCAAGAGUGACAGGAACAACUGGACAAUCAGCAGAAGUAACAGGGAAAACUGGACUAUCAGCUGGAGUGACGGGACAACUGAAUCAGCUGGAGUGACAGGGACAAGUGAACUAUCAGCUGAAGUGACAGGGACAACUGGCCUGUCGGCUGAAGUGACAGGGCUACCUGGAGUAUCAGCUGGGGUGACAGGGACAAUUGGAUCACCAGCUGGAGUAACAGGGACAACUCGACUAUCAGCUGUGGUGACAGGGUUAACUGGACUAUCAGCUGAUGUGACAGGGACAACUGGCCUAUCAGCUGGGGUGACAGGGAUAGCUGGACUAUCAGCUGGAGUGACAGGGACAACUACAGUAUCAGCUGGAGUAACAGGGACAGCUGGACUAUCAGCUGAAGCAACAGGGAAAACUGGACUAUCAGCUGGGGUGACAGGGACAACUGGACUAUCUGCUGGGGUGACAGAGACAAUUGGACUAUCAGCUGGGGUGACAGGGACAAUUGGAUCAUCAGCUGGGGUGACAGGGACAACUGGACUAUCAGCUGGGGUGACAGGGACAGCUGGACUCACAGCUGGGGUGACAGGGAUAACUGAACCAUCAGCUGGAGUGACAGGGACCACUACAGUAUCAGCUGGAGUAACAGGGACAACUGGACUAUCAGCUGAAGCAACAGGGAUAACUGGACUAUUGGCUGGGGUGACAGGGACAACUGGACUAUCUGCUGGGGUGAAAGAGACAAUUGGACUAUCAGCUGGGGUGACAGGGACUAUUGGAUCAUCAGCUGGAGUGGCAGGGACAACAAGAGUAUCAGCUGGGGUGACAGGGACAAUUGGAUCAUCAGCUGGGGUAACAGGGAUAACUGGACUAUUAGCUGGGGUGACAGAGACAACUGGACAGUCAGCUGAAGUGACAGGGACAACUGGACAAUCUAUUGGAGUGACAGGGACAACUAGAUCAUCAGGUGGAGUGACAGGGAUAACUGGACUAUCAGCUGGAGUGACAGGGACAAAUGGACUAUCAGCUGUGGUGACAGGGAUGACUGGACUAUCAGCUGAGGUGACAGGGACAACUGGACUAUCAGCUGGGGUGACAGGAAUAGCUGGACUCUCAGCUGGGGUGACAGGGAUAACUGGACCAUCAGCUGGAGUGACAGGGACAACUACAGUAUCAGCUGGAGUAACAGGGACAACUGGACUAUCAGCUGAAGCAACAGGGAUAACAGGACUAUCGACUGGGGUGACAGGGACAACUGGACUAUCUGCUGGGGUGACAGAGACAAUUGGACUAUCAGCUGAAGCGACAGGGACAACCAGACCAUCAGCUGGGGUGACAGGGACAACUGGAUCAUCAACUGGGAUGACAGGGAUAACUGGAUUAUCAGCUGGAGUGACAGGGACAAGGAGACUGUCAACUGAAGUGACAGGAACAACUGGACCAUCAGCUGGGGUGACAGGGACUAUUGGAUUAUCAGCUGGAGUGACUGGGAUAACUGGGCUAUCAGCUGUAGUGACAGAGACAACUGGAUCAUCUGCAAGAUCAGGGACAAGUAUCCCAUCAGUUGGAGAAACAGGAACAACUAGAACAUCAGUUGAAGAAUCAAGGACAACUAGACCAUCAGCUGGAAUAACAGGUACAAAUGGACUAUCAGCUGAAGUGACAGGGACAACUGGACCAUCAGCUGGAGUGACAGGGACAACUGGACUAUCAGCUGGAGUGACAGGGACAACUGGACUAUCAGCUGGGGUGACAGGGACUAUUGGAUCAUCAGCUGUGGUGACAGGGAUAAAUGGACUAUCAGCUGGAGUGACAGGGACAACUGGACCAUCAGCUGAAGAGACAGGGGCAAUUGGAACAUCAGCAGAAGUGACAGGGAUAACUGGACCAUCAACUGGGGUGACAGGGACAACUAGACUAUCAGCUGAAGUGACAGGGACAACUGGCCCAUCAGCUGUGGUGACAGGGAUAACUGGACUAUCAGUUGAGGUGACAGGGACAACUGGACUAUCAGCUGGGGUGACAGGAAUAGCUGGACUCUCAGCUGGGGUGACAGGGACAAUUGGACUAUCAGCUGGGGUGACAGGGACAACUGGAUCAUCAGCUGAAGUGAGAGGGACAACUGGACUAUCAGCUGAAGUGACAGGGACAACUGAACCAUCAGCUGGGGUGACAGGGACAACUGGAUCAUCAACUGAGGUGACAGGGAAAACUGGACUGUCAACUGAAGUGACAGGGACAACUGGACCAUCAGCUGGGGUGACAGGGACAGGACAACUGGACCAUCAGCUGGAGUGACAGGGACAACUGGACUAUUAGCUGGGGUGACAGGGACUAUUGGAUCAUCAGCUGUGGUGACAGGGAUAAAUGGACUAUCAGCAGGAGUGACAGGGACAACUGGACCAUCAGCUGAAGAGACAGGGACAACUGGACGAUCAGCUGAAGUGACAGGGAUAACUGGACCAUCAGCUGGAGUGACAGGGACAAGUGGACAAUCAGCUGAAGUGACAGUGACAACUGGCCCAUCAGCUGAAGUGUCAGGGCUACCUGGAGUGUCAGCUGUGGUGACAGGGAUAACUGGACUAUCAGCUGAGGUGACAGAGACAAUUGGACUAUCAGCUGGGGUGACAGGGACAAUUGGAUCAUCAGCUGGGGUGACAGGUACAAAUGGACUAUCAGCUGAAGUGACAGGGACAACUGGACCAUCAGCUGGGGUGACAGGGACAACUGGACUAUCAGCUGAAGUGACAGGGAUAACUGGACUAUCAGCUGUGGUGACAAGGACAACUGGACCAUCAGCUGGGGUGACAGAGACAACUGGAUUAUCAACUGGGGUGACAAAGAUAACUGGACUGUCAGCUGGAGUGACAGGAACAACUGGACUGUCAACUGAAGUGACAGGCACAACUGGACUACCAGCUGGAGGGACUGGGAUAACUGGGCUGUCAGCUGCAGUGACAGAGACAACUGGAUCAUCUGCAAGAUCAGGGGCAAGUAUACCAUCAGUUGGAGAAACAGGAACAACUAGAACAUCAGUUGAAGAAUCAAGGACAACUAGAGCAUCAGCUGGAAUAACAGGUACAAAUGGACUAUCAGCUGAAGUGACAGGGACAACUGGACCAAUAGCUGGAGUGACAGGGACAACUGGACUAUCAGCUGGAGUGACAGGGACAACUGGACCAUCAGCUGGAAUAACAGGUACAAAUGGACUAUCAACUGAAGUGACAGGGACAACUGGACCAUUAGCUGGAGUGACAGGGACAACUGGACUAUCAGCUGGGGUGACAGGGACAACUGGACUAUCAGUUAGGGUGACAGAGAGUACUGGACUAUCAGCUGGGGUGACAGGGACAAUUGGAUCAUCAGCUGGAAUAACAGGUACAAAUGGACUAUCAUCUGAAGUGACAGGGACAAGUGGACCAUUAGCUGGAGUGACAAGGACAACUGGACUAUCAGCUGGGGUGACAGGGACAACCGGACUAUCAGCUAGGGUGACAGAAAGUACUGGACUAUCAGCUGGGGUGACAGGGACAAUUGAAUCAUCAGCUGGAAUAACAGGUACAAAUGGACUAUCAGCUGAAGUGACAGGGAAAACUGGACCAUUAGCUGGAGUGACAGGGACAACUGGACUAUCAGCCAGGGUGACAAGGACAACUGGACUAUCAGCUACGGUGACAGAGAGUACUGGACUAUCAGCUGAGGCGACAGGGACAAUUGGAUCAUCAGCUGUGGUGACAGAGACAACUAGACUAUCAGCUGGAGUCACAGGGACAAUUGGACGAUCAGCUGAAGGGACAGGGGCAACUGGACUAUCAGCAGAAGUGACAGGGACAACUGAACUAUCAGCUGACGUGACAGAGAAAACUGGACCAUCAGCAGAAGUGACAGGGAAAACUGGGCUAUCAGCUGGAGUGAUGGAGACAACUGGACCAUCAGCUGAAGUGACAGGGACAACUGGAUCAUCAGCUGGGGUGACAUGGACAACUGGACCAUUAGCUGGAGUGACAGGGACAAGUAGACUAUCAGCUGGGGUGACAGGGACAACUGGCCCAUCAGCUGAAGCGACAGGGCUACCUGGAGUAUCAGCUGGGGUGACAGGGACAAUUGGAUCAGCAGCUGGAGUGACAGGGACAACUCAGCUAUCAGCUGUGGUGACUGGGAUAACUGGACUAUCAGCUGACGUGACAGGGACAACUGGACUAUCAGCUGUGGUGACAGGGAUAGCUGGACACUCAGCUGGGGUGACAGGGAUAGCUGGACACUCAGCUCUGGUGACAGGGAUAACUAGACCAUCAGCUGGAGUGACAGGGACAACUACAGUAUCAGCUGGAGUAACAGGGACAACUGGACUAUCAGCUGAAGCAACAGGGAAAACUAUAUCAUCAGUUGGGGUGACAGGGACAACUGGACUAUCUGCUGUGGUGACAGAGACAAUUGGACUAUCAGCUGGGGUGACAGGGACAAUUGGAUCAGCUGGGGUGACAGAGAUAACUGGUCUAUCAGCUGGAGUGACAGGGACAAUUGGACCAUCAGCUGGUGUGACAGGGUCAACUGUACUAUCAGCUGGGGUGACAGUGACGACUGGACAAUCUGUUGGAGUGACAGGGACAACUGGAUCAUCAACUGGAGUUACAGGGAGAACUGGCCUAUCAGCUGGGGUGACAGGGAUAACUGGACUCUCAGCUGAGGUGACAGGGAUAACUGGACCAUCAGCUGGAGUGACAGGGACAACUACAGUAUCAGCUGGAGUGAGAGGGACAACUGGACUAUCAGCUGAAGCAACAGGGAAAAUUGGACUAUCAGCUGGGGUGACAGGGACAACUGGACUAUCUGCUGUGGUGACAGAGACAAUUGGACUAUCAGCUGGGGUGUCAGGGACUAUUGGAUCAUCAGCUGGAGUGGCAGGGACAACAAGAGUAUCAGCUGGGAUGACAGGGACAACUGGACCGUCAGCUGCUGUGACUGGGUCAGCUGGACUAUCAGCUGGGAUGACAGGGACAACUGGACAGUCAGCUGAAGUGACAGGGGCAACUGGAGAAUCUGUUGGAGUGACAGGGACAACUAGAUCAUCAGGUGGAGUGACAGGGAUAACUGGACUAUCAGCUGGAGUGAGAGGGACAACUGUUUCAUCUGCAAGAUUAGGGACAAGUAUACCAUUAACUGGAAAAACAGGAAAAACUAGAACAUCAGUUAAAGAAUCAACGACAACUGGACAAUCAGCUGGAAUAACAGGUACAAAUGGACUAUCAGCUGAAACGACAGGGACAAAUGAACUAUCAGCUGGGGUGACAGGGACAACUGGAUCAUCAGCCGGAGUGACAGGGACAACUGGACUGUCAGUUGAAGCAACAUGGACAACUGGACUAUCAGCUGGAGUGACAGGGACAACUGUCCCAUUAGCUGGGGUAACAGGGACAACUGGACCAUCAGCUGGAGUGACAGGAAUGACUGCACUAUCAGCUGGAGUGACAGGGAAAAGUAGACUGUCAGCUGGAAUGACAGGGAAAAUAGGACCGUCAGCUGAAGCAACAGAGAAAACUGGACUAUCGGCUGGAGUGACAGGGAUCACUGGACCAUUUGCUGAAGUGACAGAGACAACUGGAUUAUCAGCUGGGGUGAGAGGGACCACUGGACCAUCAGCUGAAGUGACAGGGACAACUGGACUAUCAGCUGGGGUGACAGGGACCACUGGACCAUCAGCUGAAGUGACAGGGACAACUGGACUAUCAGGUGGGGUGACAGGGAAAACUAGAUCAUCAGCCGGGGUAACAGGGACAACUGGAUUAUCUGCAAAAUCUGGGACAAGUAUACCAUCAGUUGGAAAAACAGGAACAACCAAAACAUCAGUUGAAGAGUCAAGGACAACUAGACCAUCAGCUGGAAUAACAGCUACAACUGGAGUGCCUGCUGCAACUUCCCCAGGAGCUGAAGGUGAAAGCAUAGCUUCCACGUCAGUUGCCACAGGAGCCAUCCCUGGGUCAACAAUUGCACCAGGAAGUACCACUACUGGUACCACUGGGGCAACCACUGGCACAACUCUUGCCUCUAGAAGUUUCAACAUAGGAAUUUCUGGUGGAAUUUCUGGGAAAACCCUCAAACCUGGAAGUUAUGUCUCAGAGGCUACAACUGCUACAGGGACUCCUGGAGCAGGAGGCACCACUAUCAUUUCUCCUGAAGUCAGUACCAGUUCAGAAGUUUCCAACACAGGUAUCACUGGAGUAGGCUCUGAGACAUCUGUUGAAACAGGAAUUUCCAACACAGCUACGACUGGGGUGGCUCCUGGCACAACCCUUGCCCCUGGCAGUUCCAGUACAGAGGCCACAACUUCCAUAGGAGGAAGUGCAUCAACAAGAGGAGGAAUAGCCACAGAAGCCACAGGUUCCACAAAAGGGGUCAGGACCACUGGAUCGGAAGCUCCAGAACGUACUUCUGGAGAAUUCUCUGGGACAACCAUUUCAUCUGGAGGCUUCCGCACAGAAGCCACAACUCUCACAGGAGGUAGGGGAAGUAUUGGAACUGAAUCCAGAGCAGAGUCCACAACUUCCCUACAAGAAAGUGCAAAAACAAGAGGUGGAAUAGUGACAGAGGCCACAAGUUCCACAGGAGGGAUCAGGGCCACCGGAUCAGAAGCUCCAGGAGCUACCACUGGGGCUUUCUCUGGAAAGACUCUGGAACCUGAGAAUGACAACACAGGCAAGCCACAAGUUCCACCAGAGGGGUCAGGACCACCAGGUCAGAAGCUCCAGGAGGUACCUCUGGUGAAUUCCCAGGGAAAAUAUUUACAUCUGGAGGUUCCCACACAGCCACCACUAGGGCAGCUCCUGGCACAACUCUUGCCCCUGGCAGUUCCAACACAGGGGCCACAGCUUCCCUAGGUGGAGGUGCAACGACAAGAGGUAGAAUAACCACCGCUACCACUGGGGCUUUCUCUAGAAAGACUCUGGAACCUGGGAACGACAACACAGAGGCCACAAGUUCCACCAGAGGGGUCAGGAUCACCAGAUCAGAAGCUCCAGGAGAGGCCACAACUCUCACAGGAGACAGGAGCAGUACCGGAAGUGAAUCCAGAACAGCCACCACUGGAGUAGCUCCUGGCACAACUGUUGCCCCUGGCAGUUCCAAGACAGCGGCCACCACUUUCCUAGGAGUAAGUGGAACAACAAGCACUGGAAGAGCCAUGGGUGCCACAACUUCCAUAGUAGGGAGUGACACCAGCCAAGCAGAACAUCCAGGAGGUACAACUGUGGUUUCACCUGGAGUCAGCAGCAGUUCACAGAGCUCCAGGCCAGGCACCUCUGUCACACCAGAGAGUUCAGCAUCUGAAAGUGAAACAGUUACUACAAAAGAAUUCUCUGGGACAACUGCUAUAUCUAGAACUUCCCACACCGGCCCCCCUGCAGCCUCAGGAGGCCAAGCAACUGGGAGCCUGACAGCCACCACUGGAGUAGCUCCUGGCACAAUUGUUGCCCCUGGCAGUUCCAACACAGAGGCCACAACUUCUGUAGGAGAAAGAGAAACAACAAAAGCUGAAAUAAUCACAGGUACCACUGGAGAAUUAUCUGGAACAACCAUUAUAUCUGAAAGUUCCACCACAGCAAGCAUCACUGCAGCAACAGGGAAGCAAGCAGGCACCUCAGAGGUAGCUCCUUCCACAACAGUUGCCCCUGGAAGUUUCAGCACAGCAGUGACAGCUUCUCCUGGAGCAACUGGAAUUACUGGGGUUACAACAACUACAAAGACCACAACUUCCCUAGGAGGAAGUGGCACCACUGGAGCAGAAAUAAAAUCAGCCACCACUGGAGCACCAGGAAGUAGGACAGGCACAGCUGGAGUGCCCUCUGCUACAACAGUCUCCCCUGGGAGCUCCAACUCAGAGGCCACAACUUCUGUAGGAGAAAGUGGAAAAACAGGAGCUGAAAGAAUCACAGAGGCCACCACUUCCACAGAAAGGACUGGUAGUUCUGGAACUGGAUUCAAAACUGGCACCUCAGAGGUAGCUCCUGCCACAACAGUUGCCCCAGGAAGUUUUAGCACAGCAGCCACAACUUCUCCUGGAGCAAGUGGAAUGACUGGGGUUACAACAACUACAAAGACCACAACUUCCCUAGGUGGAAGUGGCACCACUGGAGCAGAAAUAAAAUUAGUAGGAACCACCACUACAGCACCAGAAAGUAGGACAGCCGGAGUGCCCUCUGGUACAAGAGUCACCCCUGGGAGCUCCAACUCAGAGGCCACAACUUCUGUAGCAGAAAGCGGAAUAACAAGAGCUGAAGUAAUCACAGAGGCCACAACUUUCUCAGGAGGCAGCGGGGCCACCCGAGCAGGAUUACCCGGAGGUACCACUGGAGAAUUUUCUGGAACGACCAUUAUAUCUAGAAGUUCUAACACAGAGGCCACCACUUCCACAGAAGCAGGUAUUUCUGGAACUGGAUUCAAAAUUGCAGGCAUCACUUCUGCCCCAGGGAAACAAGCAGGCACCUCUGUGGUAUCUCUUGCCACAACAGUUGCCCCUGGAAGUUUCAGCACAGCCACAACUUCUUCUGGAGCAAGUGGAAUAACUGGGGCUGGCCCCACCUCAGAGACCACAACUUCCCUAGGAGGAAGUGGUACCACUGGAGCAGAAAUAAAAUCAGCUGUAGUGCCCUCUGGUACAACAGUUGCCCCUAGGAGCUCCAACUCAGAAGCCACAACUUCUAUAGGAGAAAAUGGAAAAACAAGAGGUGAAAUAAUCACAGGUACUACUGAGGCCACCUCUGGCAAAGUUCUGGAACCUGGAAGUGCCCACACAGAGGCCACAAUUUUCCCAGGAGGCAGUGGGACUACCCGAGCAGGACUGCCAGGAGGUACCACUGGAGAAUUGUCUAGAAUGACCAUUAUACCUGGAAGUUCUAACACAGAGGCCACAACUUCCACAAAAGGGACUGGUACUUCUGGAACUGGCUUCAAAACUGGCACCUCUGGGGUGGCAUCUGGCACAACAGUUUCCCCUGGAAGUUUCAGCACAGCCACAAUUUCUCCUGGAGCAAGUAGAACGACUGGGGCUGGACCCACUACAGAAACUACAACUUCCCUAGGAGGAGGUGGCACCAUUGGAGCAGAAAUAAAAUCAGGAGCCACCUCCGGAGCACCAGGAAGUAAGACAGGCACAGCUGCAGUGCCCUCUGCUACAACAGUUGCCCCUGGGAGCUCCAACUCAGAGGCCACGACUUCUUUAGGAGAUAGUGGAAAAACAAGAACUGAAACAAUCACAGGUGCUACUGAGGGUAAAACUCUGGCAGCUGGAAGUGCCCACACAGAGGCCACAACUUUCUCAGGAGGCAGCGGGACCACCCGAGCAAGACCACCGGGAGGCACUUCUGGCACAUCAGGAGGAUAUGUCCCUGGAAGGGAAACAGAGCCCACAACUUCCAUUAAAGAAACUGGAACUUCCAGAACUAUAUUCAAAACUGUAGGCAUCACUUCAGCCCCAGGGAGGCAAGCAGGCACCUCUGUGGUGGCGCCUAGCACAAUUGCCCCUGGAAGUUUCAGCACAGCAGCCACAACUUCUCCUGGAGCAAGUGAAAUGACUGGGGUUAGAACCACUUCAAAGACUACAACUUCCCUAGGUGGAAUUGGCACCACUAGAACUGAAAUAAAAUCAGGAGCCACCAAUGGAGCACCAGGAAGUAAGACAGGUGUCAUGAGAGAAUCUUCUAGAACGACCAUUCUAUCUGGAAGUUCUAACACAGAGGCCACAAAUUCCAUUGAAGAGACUGGUACUUCUGGAACUGGAUUCAAAACCGCAGGCAUCACUGCAGCACCAGGAAAGCAAGCAGGCACCUCUGGGGUGGCAGCUGGCACAACAGUUGCCCCUGGAAGUUUCAGCACAGCAGCUACAACUUCUCUUGGAGCAAAUGGAGUGAUUGGCACUGGCCCCACUGCAGAGACCACAACUUUCCUAGGAGGAAGUAGCACCACUGGAGCAGAAAUAAAAUCAGGAGCCACCACUGGAGCACCAGGAAGUAAGACAGGCACAGCUAAAGUGCUCUCUGGUACAACAGUUGCCCCUGGGAGCUCCAACUCAGAGGCUACAGCUUUCUCUGGAAUCACUGAAGCAGUAACAGUCCCAAGUAAAAAUGGAUCCAUGACCACUGCACUGGGGAGCCAACUCUCCAGCAGUCAAACAGUGAUUCCACGUUCCAGUGGCACCACCUCUCACACAACUGUUGCACUUGGAAGUUCUGAUACAGGAACCACCUCUGGUGCAUCAGAUGAUCAAGUCACUGGAAGUAAAACAGGCACUACUGGUGUGGCCUUGAGCACAACUGUUGCACCUGGAAGUUCCAGUACAGAAGCCACAACUUCCACAGGAGUCCAUAGAACCACUGUAGUGGGACGGAAGACAGAAGCUACCACUAGAGGAUCAGCAAAGCAAGGAACUGGAAGCACAAUAGAAGCUACGACGUCCUUUAGAGGCACUGGGACCACAGGAAGUGGAAUGAAUACAGGUACUACUGGAGUAGUCUCUGGCAACACCAUCUCACCUAGCAGUUUCAACACAGAAGCUACCAGUAGCACAUCUGAGAGGCCAAACCCUGGAAGUGAAAUAGGCACCACUGGCAUAGUCUCUGGCACAACAGUUGCACCUGGAAGUUCUAACACAGAAGCCACAACUUCUUUGGGCAAUGGUGGAACCACUGAAGCUGGAAGUAAAAUAGUUACCACUGGGAUAACUACUGGCACGACCAUUGUACCUGGGAGUUUCAACACAAAGGCUACGACUUCUACAGACGUUGGAGUUGCCACUGGAGUUGGAAUGGCAACUGGGAUCACCAACAUAAUUUCAGGGAGAAGCCAACCUACUGGAAGUGAAACAGGCUACACUGUAACAGGCUCUGGAACAACAGCCUUACCUGGAGGUUUCAGAACAGGCAAUACCCCAGGAUCAACGGGAGUCACCAGCAGCCAAGAAGGAACCACUGUGGUAUCAAGUGGAAUCACUGGAAUCCCAGAAACUUCCAUCUCAGGUCCUUCCAAGGAAGCAUCUGACAAAACCACUGCUCCUGGACCUCCUACCACAGUCACUGCUUCCACAGGAGUCAAAGAAACUUCUGAAACUGGAGUGCAAACAGGUUCCACCUUGGUUACAGCUGGAGUGCCAACAAGACCACAAGUAUCCCAGCCAGAAACCACUGUCAUGGCAACCAGAGAAGUAGAAACUGAAAAUAAAACAGAAUGUCUAGCCUCACUUCCACCAGCUCCAGUUUGUCACGGUCCACUGGGAGAAGAGAAAUCUCCUGGAGACAUAUGGACUGCCAAUUGCCACAGAUGUACCUGUACUGAUGCAAAGACUAUAGACUGUAAAGCUGAGGAGUGUCCUUCCCCACCCACAUGCAAAACCGGCGAGAAGCUUGUGAAGUUCCAAUCUAAUGACACCUGCUGUGAAAUCGGAUACUGUGAACCAAGAACAUGUUUAUUUAACAAUACUGACUAUGAGAUUGGUGCUUCAUUUGAUGACCCCAGCAACCCCUGUGUCUCCUACUCCUGCAAAGACACUGGCUUUGCUGCAAUAGUCCAGGACUGCCCAAAGCAGACCUGGUGUGCAGAAGUAAACAGAAUCUAUGAUUCAAAAAAAUGUUGCUAUACAUGUAAGAAUAAUUGCAGAUCUUCCCUUGUAAAUGUGACUGUUAUCUACAGUGGUUGCAAGAAAAGAGUUCAGAUGGCAAAAUGCACAGGGGAAUGUGAAAAGACUGCCAAGUACAAUUAUGAUAUCUUACUCUUGGAACAUUCAUGCCUUUGCUGCCGAGAAGAAAACUAUGAACUCAGAGACAUUGUACUUGACUGUCCUGAUGGCAGUACAAUCCCUUACCAAUACAGGCAUAUCACGACCUGCUCUUGUUUAGACAUAUGCCAACCAUAUACGACCUUCAUGUACAGUUAAUGCUGACAUCACCUUCCCAGUUUUAAUAGGCCUGGUAUUUAUGUUAUAAGUGAGGAAAAAUAAUCAUUUAAAUAGUGAGAAUAACUAAACAAUGUGAGAAUAACUCAAAACAA